RNAcentral lists this ribosomal RNA (2899 nucleotides) under Klebsiella pneumoniae. RNAcentral describes it as "bacterial LSU rRNA". It matches the Rfam family "Bacterial large subunit ribosomal RNA". The record is from RNAcentral. Lineage: Bacteria; Pseudomonadati; Pseudomonadota; Gammaproteobacteria; Enterobacterales; Enterobacteriaceae.
UUAAGCGACUAAGCGUACACGGUGGAUGCCCUGGCAGUCAGAGGCGAUGAAGGACGUGCUAAUCUGCGAAAAGCGUCGGUAAGGUGAUAUGAACCGUUAUAACCGGCGAUGUCCGAAUGGGGAAACCCAGUGUGAUUCGUCACACUAUCGUUAACUGAAUACAUAGGUUAACGAGGCGAACCGGGGGAACUGAAACAUCUAAGUACCCCGAGGAAAAGAAAUCAACCGAGAUUCCCCAGUAGCGGCGAGCGAACGGGGAGCAGCCCAGAGUCUGAAUCAGCUUGUGUGUUAGUGGAACGGUCUGGAAAGUCCGACGGUACAGGGUGAUAGUCCCGUACACCAAAAUGCACAGGUUGUGAACUCGAAGAGUAGGGCGGGACACGUGGUAUCCUGUCUGAAUAUGGGGGGACCAUCCUCCAAGGCUAAAUACUCCUGACUGACCGAUAGUGAACCAGUACCGUGAGGGAAAGGCGAAAAGAACCCCGGCGAGGGGAGUGAAAAAGAACCUGAAACCGUGUACGUACAAGCAGUGGGAGCACCUUCGGGUGUGACUGCGUACCUUUUGUAUAAUGGGUCAGCGACUUAUAUUCUGUAGCAAGGUUAACCGUAUAGGGGAGCCGCAGGGAAACCGAGUCUUAACUGGGCGUUAAGUUGCAGGGUAUAGACCCGAAACCCGGUGAUCUAGCCAUGGGCAGGUUGAAGGUUGGGUAACACUAACUGGAGGACCGAACCGACUAAUGUUGAAAAAUUAGCGGAUGACUUGUGGCUGGGGGUGAAAGGCCAAUCAAACCGGGAGAUAGCUGGUUCUCCCCGAAAGCUAUUUAGGUAGCGCCUCGUGAACUCAUCUUCGGGGGUAGAGCACUGUUUCGGCUAGGGGGUCAUCCCGACUUACCAACCCGAUGCAAACUACGAAUACCGAAGAAUGUUAUCACGGGAGACACACGGCGGGUGCUAACGUCCGUCGUGAAGAGGGAAACAACCCAGACCGCCAGCUAAGGUCCCAAAGUCAUGGUUAAGUGGGAAACGAUGUGGGAAGGCACAGACAGCCAGGAUGUUGGCUUAGAAGCAGCCAUCAUUUAAAGAAAGCGUAAUAGCUCACUGGUCGAGUCGGCCUGCGCGGAAGAUGUAACGGGGCUAAACCAUGCACCGAAGCUGCGGCAGCGACACUAUGUGUUGUUGGGUAGGGGAGCGUUCUGUAAGCCUGCGAAGGUGUGCUGUGAGGCAUGCUGGAGGUAUCAGAAGUGCGAAUGCUGACAUAAGUAACGAUAAAGCGGGUGAAAAGCCCGCUCGCCGGAAGACCAAGGGUUCCUGUCCAACGUUAAUCGGGGCAGGGUGAGUCGACCCCUAAGGCGAGGCCGAAAGGCGUAGUCGAUGGGAAACAGGUUAAUAUUCCUGUACUUGGUGUUACUGCGAAGGGGGGACGGAGAAGGCUAUGUUAGCCGGGCGACGGUUGUCCCGGUUUAAGCAUGUAGGCUGAUUGUCCAGGCAAAUCCGGAUAAUCAAGGCUGAGGUGUGAUGACGAGGCACUACGGUGCUGAAGUAACAAAUGCCCUGCUUCCAGGAAAAGCCUCUAAGCAUCAGGUAACAUCAAAUCGUACCCCAAACCGACACAGGUGGUCAGGUAGAGAAUACCAAGGCGCUUGAGAGAACUCGGGUGAAGGAACUAGGCAAAAUGGUGCCGUAACUUCGGGAGAAGGCACGCUGGUGUGUAGGUGAAGUCCCUGCGGAUGGAGCUGAGACCAGUCGAAGAUACCAGCUGGCUGCAACUGUUUAUUAAAAACACAGCACUGUGCAAACACGAAAGUGGACGUAUACGGUGUGACGCCUGCCCGGUGCCGGAAGGUUAAUUGAUGGGGUUAUCCGUAAGGAGAAGCUCUUGAUCGAAGCCCCGGUAAACGGCGGCCGUAACUAUAACGGUCCUAAGGUAGCGAAAUUCCUUGUCGGGUAAGUUCCGACCUGCACGAAUGGCGUAAUGAUGGCUAGGCUGUCUCCACCCGAGACUCAGUGAAAUUGAACUCGCUGUGAAGAUGCAGUGUACCCGCGGCAAGACGGAAAGACCCCGUGAACCUUUACUAUAGCUUGACACUGAACAUUGAGCCUUGAUGUGUAGGAUAGGUGGGAGGCUUUGAAGCGUGGACGCCAGUCUGCGUGGAGCCAACCUUGAAAUACCACCCUUUAAUGUUUGAUGUUCUAACGUUGGCCCCUUACCGGGGUUGCGGACAGUGUCUGGUGGGUAGUUUGACUGGGGCGGUCUCCUCCCAAAGCGUAACGGAGGAGCACGAAGGUUAGCUAAUCCUGGUCGGACAUCAGGAGGUUAGUGCAAUGGCAUAAGCUAGCUUGACUGCGAGCGUGACGGCGCGAGCAGGUGCGAAAGCAGGUCAUAGUGAUCCGGUGGUUCUGAAUGGAAGGGCCAUCGCUCAACGGAUAAAAGGUACUCCGGGGAUAACAGGCUGAUACCGCCCAAGAGUUCAUAUCGACGGCGGUGUUUGGCACCUCGAUGUCGGCUCAUCACAUCCUGGGGCUGAAGUAGGUCCCAAGGGUAUGGCUGUUCGCCAUUUAAAGUGGUACGCGAGCUGGGUUUAGAACGUCGUGAGACAGUUCGGUCCCUAUCUGCCGUGGGCGCUGGAGAAUUGAGGGGGGCUGCUCCUAGUACGAGAGGACCGGAGUGGACGCAUCACUGGUGUUCGGGUUGUCAUGCCAAUGGCACUGCCCGGUAGCUAAAUGCGGAAGAGAUAAGUGCUGAAAGCAUCUAAGCACGAAACUUGCCCCGAGAUGAGUUCUCCCUGAGACUUUAAGUCUCCUGAAGGAACGUUGAAGACGACGACGUUGAUAGGCCGGGUGUGUAAGCGCAGCGAUGCGUUGAGCUAACCGGUACUAAUGAACCGUGAGGCUUAACCUU